This is a long non-coding RNA of Brassica rapa (field mustard), 1708 nucleotides long. RefSeq lists it as uncharacterized. Lineage: Eukaryota; Viridiplantae; Streptophyta; Magnoliopsida; Brassicales; Brassicaceae. The record is from RefSeq and is a predicted model, not a curated record.
ACUGAGAACGAGAAGAAGAAGAUGGUUUGAUUUUAUUAUGUAGUUCGUCAUGUGAUAUAAUUAUCAUAAAUGAGAGGAAAAUAAAAGAAAUAUUUGUUUAGAUUGCAAGAAAUAGGGAUAUCCAAGGAUUUUGAUGGGAAACUAAUAGUUUUAUUAGUACUUGUAGUGGGAGUGAAGAAAUAUAGAGAAGUCGAUGCAUCUAUUGCAAGUAAUGUAAAAGAGGGCAUCCAAGUGGAUACAACAAGUUAUCAACAGCGUUUCCUAUCCAUUCAUUGCACUUUUAUGGAAAGUCUUUACGCAAACUCAUAGGUCCAUGCUUGCCAAAUUUGGAAGGUGCGGUAGAGAGUUUAUCCAAUUUCGUUUUCAUCUAGAUGUUUCAAGUUUUCAAAUUGGAAAUCUUAUACAAUAAAGUUGACUUGCCUCUCUCCUUAUGAAGCCACUUCAUCAAUGUCCAUAGGGCAAAUUUGGACACCUGUCCAUAUCUAAUUUCCGUGAGCCACCUCUCUUGAUUUCAAUUUGGGCCGUCUAUGUUUGGUUGAGAUGACGAGACCCAAACUCUCUUUUGAACAGAAAAGCCCUAGCUAACUUCUCUCCUCCUUUGACGGUUGUCGUCUCCCUUUUCGAUUCCUCUGUAACGCUUUUCUUCGACAUUGAAACUUAUCAUUAUGAUUUGCCAUUAAAUUUAUCAUUCCAGCUCUCCCACUACGUUGAAUUUUAUCACCCCUUUCCUAACCUCUAUCGCUAAUCUCUAAUUUGUUCCACUACAAAUAGAGAUGCAGCAAACUCAGAAUCUCACAGGGUCACCUGGUUGGACCCUUCUCCUUCCUUACAAAACAACCUGCAAAAAUGAUCGGAACGUCGAGCAAUGAGGCGGAGCUUACGGAAGUUGACAUUCUUCUGCUUGAUGAGAAGGUUAGACUCAUAUUUUCUCAUUCAUUACGCAUAUUCGUUUUCCUAUUCGUCAACAUAUACUUACAGUGGCGUUUCAUGUUUUCACUCUCCCAAGUCCACUCUUCUGCAAGCGUCUAUCAUUGUGCAUCGGUUUAACAGUUUUACACACUUUCUGGAGUGGUUUUGAUGUUACAAGAGUAACAUCGACUGCAAGCUGUCAGAUUCCCUGUCGUCAUUCGCUUCAAAAAUCUUACGGAGUUUGUUGAAAUCACAACUCCUCCUCCUGCAAUACCUCUUGAGCUCUUUAGGUUCCAUGACUACGGCCAGCCCAUUGCAUUACUCAAUACUAACCAUCAGUUUCCAGGUGAAUCAGUUUACUUCCAUUAACUCAAAAAGUCUGAGAUUUAGCAUACAGCCAUACAACGUUAACCAACUCAACCACUUGCUUCCUAGACGUCUUAAGGUUUGUUGGUGUGAUCAAUUCUACGUUUAGUGACCAUGAUGGACCUCAAACCAGACACCCCCAUCCGGUGGCUUCACAGCACAACUGUGAGGGGAGCAAUCCAGGGGAAGACCAAGUUUUAAGUUGCAAGAAACACCCCCAACAAGAGGCACAUAGAGCAAUCGACGUGGAGCCGAUACUAUUUCUCUUUGGUUUCAUUGCAAUGUUUUUUCCCCAAAUAUUCUCAGUAUUUUGUUUCUUUAACAUGUUUGCAUCUUCAGCUCAGUAUUUGGUUUCAUUUGUAUGCUAUUUCUUUGGAGCUUAACUAUAAUGUUGUUGUUUUUUCUAAAAAAUAAACAUAUGGUUUGCUUGACC